AUACGGAGGGUGCGAGCGUUAAUCGGAAUUACUGGGCGUAAAGCGUACGUAGGCGGUUUGCUAAGUCAGAUGGGAAAGCCCCGGGCUUAACCUGGGAACUGCAUUUGAUACUGGCAGACUAGAGUAUGAUAGAGGGGGGUAGAAUUCCUGGUGUAGCGGUGAAAUGCGUAGAUAUCAGGAGGAAUACCAGUGGCGAAGGCGGCCCCCUGGAUCAAUACUGACGCUGAGGUACGAAAGCGUGGGGAGCGAACAGGAUUAGAAACCCUAGUAGUCC
Molecule: ribosomal RNA, 274 nt
Filed under: uncultured bacterium
Lineage: Bacteria
Description: partial 16S ribosomal RNA
Rfam family: Bacterial small subunit ribosomal RNA
Source: RNAcentral